RNAcentral lists this long non-coding RNA (1751 nucleotides) under Salmo salar (Atlantic salmon). RNAcentral's name for it is "lncRNA (ENSSSAG00000114893.1, ENSSSAG00020064278.1)". The record is from RNAcentral. Lineage: Eukaryota; Metazoa; Chordata; Actinopteri; Salmoniformes; Salmonidae.
CAGCAUGGCUGCCCAGAUCCUCACACUGAAGAUGAGGAUGACCUAGAUGUUCUCAUGGUUGAGGUAGUAAAUAACAGAAAUGGACUAGCCUGCGGAGAUGCUUUUUCUAUGCGGAACUACUUUACAAUAAACAAUAGCCAUGGAUUGGUAACACAUUUUUUAUUUUAUUCAGAAUUGAAAAUAAUGGGACCCCGAACUGGUGCUGGUUUUAAAAGAACAUUGGUACUGCUGCUGCUUUACGUUUCUCUCCUCCUCCUUCAUAGCCGUCUCAACAUGAGGUUUCUCUCCUCCUCCUCCUUCAUAGCCAACUCAAUAUGAGGUUUCUCUCCUCCUCCUCCUUCAUAGCCAACUCAAUAUGAGGUUUCUCUCCUCCUCCUUCAUAGCCAACUCAAUAUGAGGUUUCUCUCCUCCUCCUCCUUCAUAGCCAACUCAAUAUGAGGUUUCUCUCCUCCUCCUCCUUCAUAGCCAACUCAAUAUGAGGUUUCUCUCCUCCUCCUUCAUAGCCAACUCAAUAUGAGGUUUCUCUCCUCCUCCUCCUUCAUAGCCAACUCAACAUUAGGUUUCUCUCCUCCUCCUUCAUAGCCAACUCAAUAUGAGGUUUUACAUCUUCAUAUUUUAAUUUAACCCUUAUUUCACCUGGUAAGUUGACUGAGAACACAUUCUCAUUUACAGCAACGACCUGGGGAAUAGUUACAGGGGAGAGGAGGGGAAUGAAUGAGCCAAUUGUAAGUUGGGGAUGAUUAGUUGACCGUGAUGGUAUGAGGGCCAGUUUGAGAAUUUAGCCAGGACACCAGGGGUUAACACCCCUACUCUUACAAUAAAGUCCAAUGAGAUCUUAAAUUACCACAGAGUCAAAACACCAGUUUAACGUCACAUCCGAAAGACAGCACCCUACACAGGGAAAUGUCCCCAAUCACUGCCCUGGGGCAUUGGGAUAUUUUUUGGACCAGAUGAAAAGGUGCCUCCUACUGGCCCUCCAACACCACUUCCAGCAGCAUCUGGUGCCCCAUCCAGGACCAAUCCUGCUUAGCUUCAGAAGCAAGCCAGCAGUGUGGUAUGCUGCUCUACUUUUAAAUACAUUAGUUUGAGCUCGUUAAAUUCCAUGGGCAGUUCCUCAUGCAUGCUCAGCAUCUUUGCCUUUGUGUCACUAACCCGGGCCAGAAGACGAUCUCCCUCCUGGCUGCUGCAGAUGUAGCAGGCUGACCUUCAUCCUGUUAAGACAAGUCUGUCUUAACCUCCAAGCUAUGGUGAUCAUCAGCCUCUAGAAAAUGAUUACAUUGCUGCAUUAGAGAACAUUAUUUCUUCAAGAGUUGAGUUCAUUACGUCAGUUUUAUUAUGGGAGUGCAAGAGAUGACUGACAAUAUCACAUAUUCCCUGCAGUCUGGGGAUGGAACAUGUUGAAUGAAUGUGUCCUACCAAAUGAAGAUUGGAACGGUCCCCCAUCUGAACUGUCCAAAUGGUCGUUGUCUAGGAUACCCUCCAGGGGUUUCUGGCUAUCAAUGAGCCCUGUCAACAAGUCUCCCAGCUCAUCUGCCGAUGGUCUUACUGAGGGCCAGCCACCAUCUUGAAACGCUCCCCACGACCAACCGCAUUUGUCUUCUUUAUGUCGAUUUUUAUGUUUUUUCCACAGGACUUUAGAAAGACAAGACAAUAUCGAAAUGAUGUUAGUAAUUAUGGAUGAUAUUUUUUGUUACAUUUCUGUCUCACAAAUACAUUUUGGUCCCACUGUGUUAUGUUACAGAAGAAAACUA